GCCUAACACAUGCAAGUCGAACGAACCUUCGGGUUAGUGGCGGACGGGUGAGUAACGCGUGAGAAUCUGCCCUCAGGAGGGGGAUAACGGCUGGAAACGGCCGUUAAUACCCCAUAUGCCGCGAGGUGAAAUGAAUUUCGCCUGAGGAUGAGCUCGCGUCUGAUUAGCUAGUUGGUGGGGUAAAGGCCUACCAAGGCAUCGAUCAGUAGCUGGUCUGAGAGGAUGAUCAGCCACACUGGGACUGAGACACGGCCCAGACUCCUACGGGAGGCAGCAGUGGGGAAUUUUCCGCAAUGGGCGAAAGCCUGACGGAGCAACGCCGCGUGAGGGAUGAAGGCCUCUGGGCUGUAAACCUCUUUUAUCAAGGAAGAAGAUCUGACGGUACUUGAUGAAUAAGCCACGGCUAAUUCCGUGCCAGCCGCCGCGGUAAUA
This 432-nucleotide ribosomal RNA is filed under the name uncultured bacterium. RNAcentral describes it as "bacterial SSU rRNA". It matches the Rfam family "Bacterial small subunit ribosomal RNA", at positions 46 to 525 of the family's 1533-position model. The record is from RNAcentral.